Molecule: non-coding RNA, 109 nt
Filed under: Mucilaginibacter sp.
Lineage: Bacteria; Pseudomonadati; Bacteroidota; Sphingobacteriia; Sphingobacteriales; Sphingobacteriaceae
Description: SAM-I sequence
Rfam family: SAM riboswitch aptamer (S box leader)
About the family: The SAM riboswitch is found upstream of a number of genes which code for proteins involved in methionine or cysteine biosynthesis in Gram-positive bacteria. The SAM riboswitch acts at the level of transcription termination control. The predicted structure consists of a complex stem-loop region followed by a single stem loop terminator region.
Source: RNAcentral
UAAUUAUCAAGAAAGACUGAGGGAAAGGCCCUGUGAUGUCUUAGCAACCUGUACGCCAUAGGUAAAAAGGUGCUAAUUCCUAUCUGUAGCAAUACAGAAAAGAUAAUGU